GAGUUGAAUACACACAACACAAGGAAGUUACUGAGAAUUCUUCUGUCUAGCAUAGUAUGAAGAAAUCCCGUUUCCAACGAAGGCCUCAAAGAGGUCUGUAUAUCCACUUGCAGAGUUUACAAACAGAGUGUUUCCUAACUGCUCUAUGAAAAGAAAGGUUAAACUCUGUGAGUUGAACGCACACAUCACAAAAGAGUUUCUGAGAAUCAUUCUGUCUAAUUUUUAUAUGAAGAUAUUUCCUUUUCAACCACUGACCUCAAAGCGGCUGAAAUCUCCAUUUGCAAAUUCCACAAAAAGAGUGUUUCAAGUCUGCUCUGUGUAAAGGAUCGUUCAACUCUGUGAGUUGAAUACACACAACACGAGGAAGUUACUGAGAAUUCUUCUGUCUAGCAGAAUAUGAAAAAAUCCCGUUUCCAACGAAGGCCUCAAAGAGGUCUG
Molecule: long non-coding RNA, 438 nt
Filed under: Homo sapiens (human)
Lineage: Eukaryota; Metazoa; Chordata; Mammalia; Primates; Hominidae
Description: HSALNT0326457
Source: RNAcentral